This is a long non-coding RNA of Equus caballus (horse), 1854 nucleotides long. The record is from Ensembl. Lineage: Eukaryota; Metazoa; Chordata; Mammalia; Perissodactyla; Equidae.
GAGUAAUUUUCUAGAGUUAGGAUAAUUGGUCAGAGGCCAGAGAGGAGUAGAAAUGGAUAAAUCAAAGGAAAUGCCCUGCUCUCAACCCACAAAAUGACCAGCAGUUGCCAGCAACCUGGAAUCACAAGGAGGCACCAGCUAAAAGGCCAUUCACUCUCCAAAUAUCUGAAAGAACAGGACAGUUCAGUCAUUUUCAUAAAAAAAGCCUCCCAGAAGCUCUGCGUGUGUCUCUCCAAUGCCGCUACAGGGCAUCCAGGUUCCUGGGAAGGGAGCCUCACUGUUUCUUACAUUCCUCCUGGCUGGGCCAGCACUGGGAAAUUCUCCAGAAGAGAGGUGACAGACCAAGGUAACAGAUUUGAAGACCUGAUUCAGAAUUGGGAAUGGAGAUACAGGUCAUGCAUUGUUGACAACCUGAAAUUAGGACCCACCCAGGCCUCUCUGUUCUUCUGGGGGUGGUGGGAAUGCUGCAGAAGCUGGUGCCCCAGUGGGAGGAUCUCCAAGGCCUGCUGAGGCAGCAGGGGAAUUACCCAGGCCCAGUGAAGGUACAUUGCCAGGGCGAGAGGUGACACCAUGGUCAGAAAGAGCCACGUCAUACCCAGGUGAGCAAUGGAGCACAUCUGAACUGAAGGGCAAGGCCAGGCCUGAGUUGGUCAUCUGAGGGGUGUGGAGGUAAACAGUGGAGGUGGGGUGGGGUGGGAUGAGGAGCACAGAGGGUCUAGUUAGUUGGGGUUCUGUCCAGGAAGUGGGAGUCUAGGCCAGAGUGUGAGUGUCUGAGGAAUACCCCUCUUAACUGACCCCACAGCCUGUUUUUGUCAAUCUGGAUACGAUUGUUUCUGGAAGAAACCUGCCUUAGAAAAAGGUUCUGUUUUACUCUUCAGAGGUCCCUAGGAGCUCCCUCACCAGGACAAGGAAAGCCCACCCCUGAGGGGUCACUGGCAGCAUGGCUGCCAAAGUAGGUCCUCCUUAAAGAAGCUUGGACCCUUGGACACACCUCCCAGCAGGCCACCUUUCCACCUCCUCCAGGUGAUGCGGAUGUUGCGGGCCAAUGGACUUGGAGUGGUGAGGCCUGAGCAGGUUCAGCCAGGCUGAAGACUCUCAGGCUUCUGUGAAGAGGAUCCUGGAAGAGCCAUUUCCCUGUAGAGGGCAUUGCAGGCAUCUGCGGAGGCGUGGGCCCCUCCAGUAAGGGGGAACUAGUUUUACUUAUUUUUCCCACAAAGGGCCUGGGGGAGACACGAUGAAGUUGGAAAGUUUGACCUAUGAAUUUUUAGUAGCAUUUAUAUUUUCCCUUUAUUUGGGGAGAGCUCUUCCUGGAGGCUGAUUUGUUAUGUUAAAUGACCCAAAGGAUCCUGACCUGCUUUCAUCCAUUUUUUUUCUUGGAUCUCUCCCAAUGUUGCCCUUUCCAGGAAGAGAGGGAAGAAUGCCAAGAUCACAGUCUCUAUGGGGAUCUAGAAUCCUGAUUUAUGACUGUCCUCUGAACUCAGAGACCUGCCCACGUUUCCAGCAGACUUCUGCACUGCCCUGGCCCUGAGCCUGACUGUCCUAACUUGAUCGUGGGGGAGAGGACUUAAUCCAUGGCUUCUUGUUCUUUAAUAGAGGAAGUAGACUCAACUCAGAAAAAUGGGGCAUUAACGCUGUGAUUUAAUGGCAUUUAUUGAUUCAACAUUAUAAUUAAGAGUUCAGGUUUUAAAGACAGUUGACCCUAACUUUCACUAUAUCACUUACUAGCUGUGUGGGCAACUUAUUUAAAUCAUUUUUUUCUGACUGCAAAAGUGACACCCAUUAAAAAUGAAAAAAAUUUAAAAAUUACAGAAAAACUUAACAUGAAAAAUAAAAAGUUAACUAUUUAAAAUUUCU